CAGCACCUCAAGUGGUCAGGAUGAUUAUUGGGCCUAAAGCAUCCGUAGCCGGCGCGGUAAGUUUUCGGUUAAAUCUGUACGCUCAACGUACAGGCUGCCGGGAAUACUGCAGCGCUAGGGAGUGGGAGAGGUAGACGGUACUCGGUAGGAAGGGGUAAAACCCUUUGAUCUAUUGAUGACCACCUGUGGCGAAGGCGGUCUACCAGAACACGUCCGACGGUGAGGGAUGAAAGCUGGGGGAGCAAACCGGAUUAGAUACCCGAGUAGUCC
This 270-nucleotide ribosomal RNA is filed under the name uncultured archaeon. RNAcentral describes it as "partial 16S ribosomal RNA". It matches the Rfam family "Archaeal small subunit ribosomal RNA", at positions 477 to 747 of the family's 1478-position model. The record is from RNAcentral.